Molecule: RNA transcript, 1979 nt
Organism: Fragaria vesca subsp. vesca
Lineage: Eukaryota; Viridiplantae; Streptophyta; Magnoliopsida; Rosales; Rosaceae
Exons: 9
Source: RefSeq, a predicted model, not a curated record
GGACUCUUGAACUCUCUCUCGAUCUCUCUCGAAAGCUGUUUUGAUCUCUCUUCUUCUUCUUCUUCUUCUGUUCUCUGAUUCUUCGUCAUUUUCUCUACCCUUUGCUCUGUCCUUACUUUGCGUUUAUUUACGUUAUUGUCAUUAAUUGCUCGGGCUUUUUCUUCUCUAUUUGGUCUCUCGCUCCAGUCUUCUCGCCUCUUCUCGCGUCUUCAAUCACCCUUUCUCUCGCUCGCCGCCUCCUAAAGAUUCGAGAUCGAUCUGAAGACUUUUUCCUUUUCCUUUUCCUCUUCUCUCUCUGGCCUUUCGUUUGGCUGUCUCCACUGAAUCACGGUUCAGGUUUGCCUUUUAGCUACCAGCGAUUCGGGUUUCCGGCCGGCUGUGCUGCGGUGUUCGUAAAUAAGGUGAGAGAGAUAGAAAAGGUGAGAGAGAAGGGAAGCAGCGGAGGAAGCCUAUCGAUUUUGGGUUUGAGCAAUUUCUUGAAUUCUCUCUCGAUCUCUCUCGAAGCUCCACCGUUUCUUAAUUCGCUCCAUGUUUUUUUAAAUUUCUGUAAUCGAUUAAAGCUUUUGAUCUUGAAACCUAUUUCAUUUUCAGAGAGAGCAAUUCCAGAGAUUUCGACAACGAUCGAGGAGAGGGAGAGGAUAGGAGAAAAGGAGAAAGAGGAGGGGAUUUUGUCUGGGGUUAUAUGAAGUCUGAAUGAUAGUUAAAUGGCCUCAUUAUUCUUCCGAACCCCUGCUUUGCAUGAUAUUGUAACAUUUCGAGAUCCAACACAGAACCCGGAGAAUUGGAACAAAUUGUUUUCAUAAAGAGGAUUGUUGCAAAAGCUGGAGACUUGGUCGAGGUUCGGAAUGCAUGGCUCUAUGUCAAUGGUAUUGCACAGAAAGAAGAUUUUAUAGCAGAACCACCCACAUAUGUAUUAAUUUGACUAUGUCUUAGUUCUCUUUUCGACAGGAAAUGGAAGCAACAGUUACCAGAUGUGUAUGUUGCAGCAGUGCCUCUAAGAGCCACAAAAAAAUGGACCUGUCCGGCUCCUCACCUCUACUGCUUACUCUCUCAAUCUCUUGAAAGAACCAAAUGGUGUAUUGUAUAUAACAAAAUGUCGGUGGCGGAUCCUUCUAUACCCAGCAUUGCCCCACAUGCUUCAAGCAAAUGAGGUACAAAGCUAGCUUUGAAUCUGCCAACUAUGAUUUGUUACAGGUAACAUAAAUUUAAAAUUGAUAUUGUCGAAAGUCCUUCCUGUGCUUUCUUUCUUGCUUUGUUUGGUUUUUUCUUUAUUUUUCCAGGUUCUGCUUGAAAACAAAGAAAUUGGUUCUGCUGUUUCUAUAGUUUACUCGAAGUUUUGAACAAGCUCAUGUCCAUAGAUUUUACCCUAAAAAGAAGGUGGUGAUACAGUUAAAAUUGUUGAAGGACCAAAUGGUGUAUUGCAGAUAACAAAAUUGUCGGUGGCGAAUGCCUCUAUACCCAGUGUGUGCCACAUGCUUCAAGCAAAUGAGGAAGAAGCUACAAAGCUAGCUCUGGAUCUGCCCCAGAUUAUGAUUUGUUACAGGUGCUUAAGAACCAGUAGCGCAACUAAAGCAAGCAGUAGUUAAAAGUUGGGAUUAUGGAUGAAGUAUUCUAGAUCAUCAGAAGAAAAGAUGAACCAGGGUGCCCUAGGUUUGGGGUUAUCUGAAUAACCUAUACAUGUACCAAAUACAAAGACAGAUGCAGAUUCAACAAAUGAGUUGUUGAACAAGUUACCAAGACUGGAUCAUCAGAAGAAAAUAUGAAGCAGGGGGUACGUAGCACCCCAUAGUUUAAUUAUUGACUAAUCACACAAAUUUCUCUUAGUUAAUGUCUAGUUUUCUAUCAUUAAAAUACUCUGUAACAUGUAUUGAUGAAAAUGUUUUGUGUGAGUUGAAGAGUCGCAUAAACUUGAGUCACAUUUUAUGGUUCAAACUUCAAAGUAAUUAACUGACUGAAAGUAUGAACAUUGUGACUUUGUU